GGUGGCUCAGGGGUAGAGCACCUGCCUCGCAUGCAUGAAGCCCUGGGUUCGAUUCCUCAGCACCA
RNAcentral lists this transfer RNA (65 nucleotides) under Dipodomys ordii (Ord's kangaroo rat). It matches the Rfam family "tRNA". From Rfam's summary of the family: Transfer RNA (tRNA) molecules are approximately 80 nucleotides in length. Their secondary structure includes four short double-helical elements and three loops (D, anti-codon, and T loops). The record is from Rfam by way of RNAcentral. Lineage: Eukaryota; Metazoa; Chordata; Mammalia; Rodentia; Heteromyidae.